AAACCAUUGAUAAUAGCUGAAUAAAUUUCCAAAAAUUAAUGAAAACAUCUUAGUUAAUUACUCUGACAAGUACCU
Molecule: long non-coding RNA, 75 nt
Organism: Ipomoea nil (Japanese morning glory)
Lineage: Eukaryota; Viridiplantae; Streptophyta; Magnoliopsida; Solanales; Convolvulaceae
Exons: 3
Source: RefSeq, a predicted model, not a curated record